Molecule: ribosomal RNA, 946 nt
Filed under: uncultured bacterium
Lineage: Bacteria
Description: bacterial SSU rRNA
Rfam family: Bacterial small subunit ribosomal RNA
Source: RNAcentral
GUAANUCUUUUAUUNGGGAAAAAUUUUGAUAUUNCCNAAUGAAUAAGAGGUUGCUAACUCUGUGCCAGCAGCAGCGGUAAUACAGAGACCUCAAGCGUUNUCCGGNAUUUAUUGGGCGUAAAGCGUCUGUAGGCGGAAUAAAUAGUCAGAUGUUAAAUUUCAGGGCUCAACUCUGAAACCGCAUUUGAAACGUUUAUUCUAGAGGAUGGUAGAGGCAAGUGGAACUUACGGUGUAGCAGUAAAAUGCGUUGAUACCAUAAGGAACACCAAAGGCGAAGGCAUCUUGCUGGACCAUUUCUGACGCUGAGAGACGAAAGCGUGGGUAGCGAAUGGGAUUAGAUACCCCAGUAGUCCACGCCGUAAACGAUGGAUAUUAGACAUUAGGAGUGUCGACCCUUUUAGUGUCGAAGCUAACGCAUUAAAUAUCCCGCCUGGGAAGUACGGCCGCAAGGCUAAAACUCAAAGGAAUAGACGGGGACCUGCACAAGCGGUGGAGCAUGUGGUUUAAUUCGAUGAUAAGCGAGGAACCUUACCAAGGCUUGAAAUCUCUAGAAUCCCCGAGAAACCGGGGAGUGCCGCAAGGAACUAGAUGACAGGUGCUGCAUGGUUGCCGUCAGCUCGUGCCGUGAGGUGUUCGGUUAAGUCCAGUAACGAGCGCAACCCUUUUCAGAUGUUGAAUUUUUCAUCUGAGACUGCCCGGGUUAACCGGGAGGAAGGCGGGGACGACGUCAAAUCAGCAUGGCCCUUGACGCCUUGGGCUACACACAUGCUACAAUGGGAAGUUACAAAGGGUCGCCAAGCCGAAAGGCGGAGCUAAUCCCACCAAAACUUCUCUCAGUUCGGAUUGAGGGCUGCAACUCGCCCUCAUGAAGUUGGAAUCGCUAGUAAUCGUGAAUCAGCAAUGUCACGGUGAAUACGUUCUCAGGUCUUGCACUCACCGCCCGUC